CGUGCGGUUCUAUUUUGUUGGUUUCUAGGAUCGCCGUAAUGAUUAAUAGGGACAGUUGGGGGCAUUAGUAUUCAAUUGCUAGAGGUGAAAUUCUUGGAUUUCUUGAAGACUAACUACUGCGAAAGCAUUUGCCAAGGAUGUUUUCAUUAAUCAAGAACGAAAGUUAGGGGAUCCAAAACGAUCAGAUACCGUUGUAGUCUUAACCAUAAACUAUGCCGACUAGGGAUCGGACGAUGGUAAAUUCUGCCUCGUUCGGCACCUUGCGAGAAAUCACAAGUCUUUGGGUUCCGGGGGGAGUAUGGUCGCAAGGCUGAAACUUAAAGGAAUUGACGGAAGGGCACCACCAGGAGUGGAGCCUGCGGCUUAAUUUGACUCAACACGGGGAAACUCACCAGGUCCAGACAAUAGUAGGAUUGACAGAUUGAAAGCUCUUUCUUGAUUUAUUGGGUGGUGGUGCAUGGCCGUUCUUAGUUGGUGGAGUGAUUUGUCUGGUUAAUUCCGAUAACGAACGAGACCUUAACCUGCUAAAUAGCUCGUCCGGCUUUUGCUGGUCGUUAGCUUCUUAGAGGGACUAUCGGCGUUUAGCCGAUGGAAGUUUGAGGCAAUAACAGGUCUGUGAUGCCCUUAGAUGUUCUGGGCCGGACGCGCGCUACACUGACAAAGCCAGCGAGUUAUUUCCUUGGCCGAAAGGUCUGGGUAAUCU
Molecule: ribosomal RNA, 703 nt
Filed under: uncultured fungus
Lineage: Eukaryota; Fungi
Description: SSU rRNA
Rfam family: Eukaryotic small subunit ribosomal RNA
Source: RNAcentral